AUAAUGGGUCAGCGACUUAUAUUCUGUAGCAAGGUUAACCGAAUAGGGGAGCCGAAGGGAAACCGAGUCUUAACUGGGCGUUAAGUUGCAGGGUAUAGACCCGAAACCCGGUGAUCUAGCCAUGGGCAGGUUGAAGGUUGGGUAACACUAACUGGAGGACCGAACCGACUAAUGUUGAAAAAUUAGCGGAUGACUUGUGGCUGGGGGUGAAAGGCCAAUCAAACCGGGAGAUAGCUGGUUCUCCCCGAAAGCUAUUUAGGUAGCGCCUCGUGAAUUCAUCUCCGGGGGUAGAGCACUGUUUCGGCAAGGGGGUCAUCCCGACUUACCAACCCGAUGCAAACUGCGAAUACCGGAGAAUGUUAUCACGGGAGACACACGGCGGGUGCUAACGUCCGUCGUGAAGAGGGAAACAACCCAGACCGCCAGCUAAGGUCCCAAAGUCAUGGUUAAGUGGGAAACGAUGUGGGAAGGCCCAGACAGCCAGGAUGUUGGCUUAGAAGCAGCCAUCAUUUAAAGAAAGCGUAAUAGCUCACUGGUCGAGUCGGCCUGCGCGGAAGAUGUAACGGGGCUAAACCAUGCACCGAAGCUGCGGCAGCGACGCUGAUGCGUUGUUGGGUAGGGGAGCGUUCUGUAAGCCUGUGAAGGUGUGCUGUGAGGCAUGCUGGAGGUAUCAGAAGUGCGAAUGCUGACAUAAGUAACGAUAAAGCGGGUGAAAAGCCCGCUCGCCGGAAGACCAAGGGUUCCUGUCCAACGUUAAUCGGGGCAGGGUGAGUCGACCCCUAAGGCGAGGCCGAAAGGCGUAGUCGAUGGGAAACAGGUUAAUAUUCCUGUACUUGGUGUUACUGCGAAGGGGGGACGGAGAAGGCUAUGUUGGCCGGGCGACGGUUGUCCCGGUUUAAGCGUGUAGGCUGGUUUUCCAGGCAAAUCCGGAAAACUAAGGCUGAGGCGUGAUGACGAGGCACUACGGUGCUGAAGCAACAAAUGCCCUGCUUCCAGGAAAAGCCUCUAAGCAUCAGGUAACAUCAAAUCGUACCCCAAACCGACACAGGUGGUCAGGUAGAGAAUACCAAGGCGCUUGAGAGAACUCGGGUGAAGGAACUAGGCAAAAUGGUGCCGUAACUUCGGGAGAAGGCACGCUGAUAUGUAGGUGAAGUCCCUCGCGGAUGGAGCUGAAAUCAGUCGAAGAUACCAGCUGGCUGCAACUGUUUAUUAAAAACACAGCACUGUGCAAACACGAAAGUGGACGUAUACGGUGUGACGCCUGCCCGGUGCCGGAAGGUUAAUUGAUGGGGUCAGCGCAAGCGAAGCUCUUGAUCGAAGCCCCGGUAAACGGCGGCCGUAACUAUAACGGUCCUAAGGUAGCGAAAUUCCUUGUCGGGUAAGUUCCGACCUGCACGAAUGGCGUAAUGAUGGCCAGGCUGUCUCCACCCGAGACUCAGUGAAAUUGAACUCGCUGUGAAGAUGCAGUGUACCCGCGGCAAGACGGAAAGACCCCGUGAACCUUUACUAUAGCUUGACACUGAACAUUGAGCCUUGAUGUGUAGGAUAGGUGGGAGGCUUUGAAGUGUGGACGCCAGUCUGCAUGGAGCCGACCUUGAAAUACCACCCUUUAAUGUUUGAUGUUC
Molecule: ribosomal RNA, 1625 nt
Filed under: Escherichia coli
Lineage: Bacteria; Pseudomonadati; Pseudomonadota; Gammaproteobacteria; Enterobacterales; Enterobacteriaceae
Description: partial 23S ribosomal RNA
Rfam family: Bacterial large subunit ribosomal RNA
Source: RNAcentral